AGGAAAUCGGUAUUUUGUUCAUGAGCGGAACUUUAUAAUAUUGCGGUGCACGGAUAGAAUAUGAUAUAAAGUCAUUACUAUAAAAAAGCUUAUUGAAUUUUGAAGGGGGGCUAAUUUAAAACUUGGGGUUGCUAAAAACUCACUAGUUGUGCCUACGAAUUUGACAGCGGAUUUUGAAAAUUUCUCUGAGUAAUCGGCGGGGGAUCCCGAAACAAAAUAUGUAUUUCAAAAAGAUAAUAAUUCGAAUAGAGUCGACGAAUUUUGUAUAUUGUCUUGCCGGUCAAUCCGCCGUCGACGUACCUAUACGGUAUUGAACAGAAAGGUCUGUCGGAUCGGACGUGUGAA
Molecule: non-coding RNA, 345 nt
Organism: Cinara cedri
Lineage: Eukaryota; Metazoa; Arthropoda; Insecta; Hemiptera; Aphididae
Source: the annotation of a GenBank genome assembly